GGGAAGGUGGGGAUGAUGUCAAAUCAUCAUGGCCUCUAUGCCUUGGGCUACACACAUGCUACAAUGGCUGGUACAAAGGGCAGCCAGUGGGUGACCAGGAGGUAAUCUCUAAAACCAGUUUCAGUUCGGAUUGGAGUCUGCAAUUCGACUAUAUGAAGUCGCAAUCUCUAGUAAUCGCGCAUCAGCAAUGCAGCUGUGAAUAUGUUCUAUGUCCCGGCACACACCGCCAGGCAAGCCAUGGGAGUCGGAAGUACCUAAAGUCAGUAACCAUUAAAGGUCGGCCUAAGGUAAAAUUGGGACUAGGGUUAAGUGGUAACAAGGUA
RNAcentral lists this ribosomal RNA (323 nucleotides) under uncultured Haliscomenobacter sp. RNAcentral describes it as "bacterial SSU rRNA". It matches the Rfam family "Bacterial small subunit ribosomal RNA", at positions 1167 to 1498 of the family's 1533-position model. The record is from RNAcentral. Lineage: Bacteria; Pseudomonadati; Bacteroidota; Saprospiria; Saprospirales; Haliscomenobacteraceae.